UACGGAGGGAGCUAGCGUUAUUCGGAAUUACUGGGCGUAAAGCGCACGUAGGCGGCUUUGUAAGUUAGAGGUGAAAGCCUGGAGCUCAACUCCAGAAUUGCCUUUAAGACUGCAUCGCUUGAAUCCAGGAGAGGUGAGUGGAAUUCCGAGUGUAGAGGUGUAAUUCGUAGAUAUUCGGAAGAACACCAGUGGCGAAGGCGGCUCACUGGACUGGUAUUGACGCUGAUGUGCGAAAGCGUGGGGAGCAAACAGG
This 253-nucleotide ribosomal RNA is filed under the name uncultured bacterium. RNAcentral's name for it is "partial 16S ribosomal RNA". It matches the Rfam family "Bacterial small subunit ribosomal RNA", at positions 524 to 776 of the family's 1533-position model. The record is from RNAcentral.